RNAcentral lists this ribosomal RNA (265 nucleotides) under Triticum aestivum (bread wheat). RNAcentral describes it as "partial small subunit ribosomal RNA". The record is from RNAcentral. Lineage: Eukaryota; Viridiplantae; Streptophyta; Magnoliopsida; Poales; Poaceae.
UUUUUUUUUGAAGAAAGAUAAAACCUAUUAAAGAAAAAGUUAUCCUGGGAGCAAAACCUCACUUGCUAGCUUAUAAGGGGAUAAGGAAGAAUAAAAUUGACUAACAUAAGGUAUACCUUAUUCUCCUCUUGUUUUCGUAAGGUGCUGGACGGUUCCCCGACAAUUUUUUUUUUCUUUCGAGAAGGAACUUAAAUGAAAUAAAAAUAAGGAAAAAGCUUGAGGUUGGUUUCAUCUAAGCUUCUGCUCAGUGAAGUUAAUAGGAAAA